RNAcentral lists this ribosomal RNA (720 nucleotides) under uncultured bacterium. Its description in RNAcentral is "bacterial SSU rRNA". It matches the Rfam family "Bacterial small subunit ribosomal RNA", at positions 409 to 1117 of the family's 1533-position model. The record is from RNAcentral.
UGAAGGCCUUCGGGUUGUAAACCSCYGYCAKKUGGGAGGAAAUCCAUGGGGGUUAUCCCCCAUGGUUGACCUAUCUUCMGAGGAAGUCCGGGCUAAGUUCGUGCCAGCAGCCGCGGUAACACGAACCGGACARACGUUAUUCGGAAUCAUUGGGCUUAAAGGGUGCGUAGGCGGUGCGGUAAGUGAGGUGUGAAAUCCCUCGGCUCAACCGAGGAAUUGCGCCUCAUACUGCUGUGCUAGAGGGAGACAGAGGUAAGCGGAACUGAUGGUGGAGCGGUGAAAUGCGUUGAUAUCAUCAGGAACACCGGUGGCGAAAGCGGCUUACUGGGUCUCUUCUGACGCUGAGGCACGAAAGCUAGGGUAGCGAACGGGAUUAGAUACCCCGGUAGUCCUAGCUGUAAACGAUGAGCACUUGACCGAGGGUCCCCCCAUAGGUUCUCGGUCGKAGCGAAAGUGUUAAGUGCUCCGCCUGGGGAGUAUGGUCGCAAGGCUGAAACUMAAAGGAAUUGACGGGGGCUCACMCAAGCGGUGGAGGAUGUGGCUUAAUUCGAGGCUACGCGAAGAACCUUAUCCGGGUCUUGACAUCAACGGAUUAACMCCUGUGAAAGCAGGGCCACGCCUUCGGGUGGAACGUUGACAGGUGCUGCAUGGCUGUCGUCMGCUCGUGUCGUGAGAUGUCGGGYUAAGUCCCUUAACGAGCGAAACCCUUGUCACUAGUUG